GUUAAGACAUUGUCCUGGGGAUCAGGGAAAUGUUGCUUUUGGAUAGAUCGUCUUCCCGUUUCUUUCCUCCUGUAUUUUUUUUCCCCCUUCCUCAUCUCAGAAAUAGAUUCAAGAUCUACAAUAUGUGAAGCUUGCUCAUUAGUCCUGUAAGCCCUUGGGAAUUACACCGCUUCUUCUCCAAAAGCCUUUGAUGUAUAUUGGAUUAUAUCUAUUUUUAAUUGUGAUCGUAGACCACGAGCCCUGCUUUAUGCAUUAGCAUCUCUUUGAAGUUCCCAACUGUGGGAUUUCCCUCUCCCUGCUUUAUUGCUGGUUUUCUUUCUUUUUUCUUUUUAAAUUAAUUUAUUCUUCUUCUUUUUUUUUUUUUAAGUGGGUGUGGAAACAGAAAUGCUAAAGUGGCAUUCUUCCCUUGAUGGACGCUAAUACAUUUCUCCUUAUGUUGAGGUCAAAACCGGGAGAUCAAAUUGACAUGGGAGCCAAUCUGGAGACCCGAGAUUCCUGACAGGGGCGCAUUGGACAAAAGAGAAGAAGGCCUUGAGAUGGAUAGACGCUGAUGGAUUGAAAGUAGACCUCUCUGCUUUUCUCUGCUUUUUUUUUAAAACCAAAACAUGGCUUCCAACCUUCUUA
Molecule: non-coding RNA, 624 nt
Organism: Pantherophis guttatus
Lineage: Eukaryota; Metazoa; Chordata; Lepidosauria; Squamata; Colubridae
Source: RefSeq, a predicted model, not a curated record